CGCCUGGAAUCAUUGUGUUCACUAAAACCGAAUGUUUCCUUGCUGGGCUGCUGCUCCAGCGGCUAUUUUGGACGCCUGGUGUGAAAUUGGGUCUGAUGGGCUUCUACGAGUCUCCUUCCGUGCAACCACAACCCACGACCCUCCUUUCGUCUCUCUGACUCUCGCACACGACCUAUCCUCGCCAACCCUAGGUGUGCCGCCGCCAUGUCUUCAUCUCGCAGCCCCUCAACCGCCCCGUGGGAGCGGCGUCUCUGUCUACGCCUACUCGCUGCUAUCCUCUUUCUCUGGUAUUCCCUAAAGGUGAAGCAGGGAGCAUCUUUUUCUUUUCGUCGAUGAGCUCCAUCCCCACAUCAGUGGCGCACUACAUCCCUGAAGCAUGUGUCCGAGUUUUCAAGCCAUAUCUGGAGUUCUCGGGCGUGUCGUCGCCAGAUCCACCAUGUCGAGCAACCAGCCGGAGAUCCUUUGUACUAGAUGUCAACAGAAGGUGGUCAGUAUAUUAGAGACUUCAAGAAAUUUGAAUCGAAUCUCACAACCUCAUAUCUCUCUUUGUCUCUCUCAGUUGGUUAACAAGUUGCCCUGGUAUUGAUGUUUAUUAAGUUUCUCCCAAUUUUUUUCUUUUGUUUCUCUACAUGUUAGGCCAACGAAGGUUUACAAGUAGGUACAAAUCUUCAUGGUAGGCAAAGAAUAAAUUUAAGUGGUACUUAGUUAAUUAAAUACCAAGUCCGGAGGGUUGAAACAGAUUCAGAGCACUGAGUUAUGGUGGAGCUGAUGUGUUCUUUCUAUACGUAUUCGCUGGGAGAUGAUCACUUAAUCUUUAAAAUUUGACGGUGCCCACUGGGAGUUCAUGCAGAUUUGCUUCCUCAUGUGUAGUUAUAAGUUAUCUGUUCACAAACCUUCAGCUGCUGUAGUUGAUGCUUGGUUAUUGCAGUACAUAUGUUAACUCUAAACUGGACAAUUGAUUCAAGAAAACUACUUUUUGUUUGACUGUAUCUUCAGCAAGGGUACUCUUAUUGCAUGACGCUAUACUGAACCACUGGUUUGUUGCUCGAGCUGUACUAUAGACUCUUAAUUGUGAAUUUUUGAAGCAAAUUUCAAGUCUGCUACUUAUGGGAAAUUUAGAUAAUCGUAGGCUUUUCAGAAGCUUCCGACCCUAGAAAGAAGGCUCUUAAGAAGCUGCACUACAUGAAUAUGCGGAUAUUACAUGUAUGCUUUUCUUUCUUUAAAUUUUCGAUGCUUAUGAAUCAUCCAUGUAAGUAGUUAGCAUGUAUGGAAGAUAAUCUAUGUUCUGAUCCGUCGAGAGGUGCCUUUUCACUUCCAUUUCAUUUCGGCUUCACCUCCAAAAUAUUUCAUUGCUUCUUGCACAUCUUGGCUACUUGAUUUAUGUAACUUUUUGCAUUUUCAUUUCAUAUUUUCAUGUAAGAUGUGUGCUACAUUAAGUUCUUUAUUUUUUGGCUUCAUUACAUUGUAAUCUCAUGUUUUUUGGCCAUUAAAAUAGUAGCCACCUUUUACAAUGGAACUAGACACUCUUUGCUCAUUUUACAAAUGAUUUUACCUGAUAUAAUGUAGUACACAUUUUUGCACGAACUAUUGUAAGACAUACUAGAAGAAUAUUUAGAUACAUUAAAACUGAGCACCUUUCCAACCCUCUCAGGCUAUUAGCACUUUCAGCCUUUGGAUCAUCAGUUUUGGGCGUUUUCGGCCGUCAGAUUUACUCUUAAUCCCGCCUGGAAUCAUUGUGUUUGCUAAAACCGAGUGUUUCCUUGUUGGGCCGCUGCUCUGGUGACUAUUUUGGACGCCUGGUGUGAAAUUGGACCUGAUGGGCUUCUACGAGUCUCCUUUCGUGCAACCACACCCCACGACGCUCCUUUCGUAAGUCAAUGUAAGAUGCCAUGAGAAACCAAGAGAGGGAAUUAAAAACUUGUGAUAAACAUAAGAAAAAGAGGACGCAGAGCAGUGGUCUUUAAAAGCAAUAUUGCAUAGAUAUGAUGAUGUUUACCUACAACCACCGUAUUCUGUGUAUAUGUGAAUUUCAAUCUCUGCCAACUUACAAGUGGUUCAAGAUAAGAAUAUGAGGGUGUAUAAACAGGAUAACAGGAUAAUAUGCCAUGGUGGACUACACUAGCUUAUCCAAGUGCUCUGAGAUAUUAGCGUAUGCCUGUGCUUUGCCUCGUAUGAAGUCCAUCACAAUUGAACAUAGUUCAGUUUGUUUUUUUAACUUACAGGCUUACAGCUACUAACUUUAUCUUAUCCGCUCCAUUUUCUGGCAAACUAGGUUGAGAAAGGCAUGAUGUUGUCCGUUGUGUAUUCUAAAUGGGUUGCUGUGGUGGAUGGAGUAGCACGACAUCGAUUUCUUUGCUUGCCAAAGAAAAAAAGAAUUGCACAUUUUCAAAACUUGAGACAUGGAGCUUGCGGAAGACUUCUCAAUUUGUAUUCAACCCAUGACACAGUAUGAGCAUGGCCAUUUUAACAAUAAUUAUUUCUCUUAAAUAUACUCCUUUGUUGGUUUGUAGUUAUAAUGUGGAGGGUAUUUUCCUCUGAUGCAACUAUACAUUGUUAACACAUGUAUAUCAUGUGCCAAUUGUGAUUAUUUAUCCAUUUAUUUAUUUA
Non-coding RNA from Aegilops tauschii subsp. strangulata, 2607 nucleotides. The record is from RefSeq and is a predicted model, not a curated record. NCBI's taxonomy places the organism in Eukaryota, Viridiplantae, Streptophyta, Magnoliopsida, Poales, Poaceae.